UGACAUGGUCACAUGACACAGUAUUAUAAAUAAGAAGCCAUUUGGUCAUUUCUUAUUUCCACCUUAGUCGCCUCACGAUUAACACAGCUGAAAGAAUGGCAAGCUCUUCUUCUCCGGCGAAAUCGCCCACAUCCACCAACCCGGAGGUGCAAGCUUUGCGCACCAAAUGCCAAUUGUUGUGUUACUCGUGCCAGGACCCUUGCGUGUCCCGGGAAGACUUAUAAUCACAAAGUUACGUGCUGGCCGAGACCUUCAUAGGCUUCGCUGCCAGACGUGUCAGGGGCAAACAACUAAUGGCGGAACAGGUGGAAAAAAAUCAAGCCACCAUCAGCCAGCUUGAGGAAGCCUUGGCAGAGGCGAAACAGCGAAUUGACGCAGCAGAGGGGCAACAGCGUUUGAACCCAAAUGACACCCGUGACUGUGCCACACAAACAGACGACGAAAAAAACACAGAAAGACAGGAUAAACAUCCAGAAAAAACACGUCCGGAAAAGAGACAAAAAAAAACAAAUAAACAUCCCCCCUUCCACAAACAUGUUAGGUUAAUUGGCGACUCCAAAUUGUCCAUAGGUAUGAAUAUGAGUGUGAACGUUUUUUAUCUGUAUUAUUAAUAAAUUGUUGUUGUUAUGUUGUGCUUUGGAUUGUUGAAUUUUUGUAUGUUACAUAAUUAAACGUGUUUUGUUUUGUUCGUACGCGACUUUGUUUAAAUCUCUUUAGCUUUCAUCUGGUAUUCCACAACAUGUUAGUUAUUUUUACAAAGCCGGUCUUUAUUCAUUUUGACACACGUAAUAAGGUUUAAGUAGACUUUACAAAACACACCAACAAAUACAUUGCUCAAACAUCUCACUUUGCAUAUGAACUUCACCCAUGAAGUAC
This is a non-coding RNA of Doryrhamphus excisus (bluestripe pipefish), 876 nucleotides long. The record is from RefSeq and is a predicted model, not a curated record. NCBI's taxonomy places the organism in Eukaryota, Metazoa, Chordata, Actinopteri, Syngnathiformes, Syngnathidae.